UGAAUACGAGACGCUAAGGCGUCGAAGUAGUGUAUGUCAUACUUCCAAGAAAAUCUUGCACUGUCAUAGAUAAAAAACGCCUGUACCAUAACCGACACAGGUGGGUAGGUAGAGUAUACUAAGGGGCGCGAGAUAACUCUCUCUAAGGAACUCGGCAAAAUAACUCCGUAACUUCGGGAGAAGGAGUGCCUUAUUCGUAAGGUUGCUAUAACAAGAUCCAAGCAACUGUUUAUCAAAAACACGGGUCUCCGCUAAGUCGUAAGACGAUGUAUGGGGGCUGACGCCUGCCCAGUGCCAGAAGGUUAAAGAAGUUGGUUAGCAAUUGCGAAGCUGAUAACUGAAGCCCUGGUGAACGGCGGCCGUAACUAUAACGGUCCUAAGGUAGCGAAAUUCCUUGUCGGGUAAGUUCCGACCCGCACGAAAGGCGUAAUGAUUUGGAUACUGUCUCGGAGAGGGGCUCGGUGAAAUAGACUUGUCUGUGAAGAUGCGGACUACCUGCACCAGGACAGAAAGACCCUAUGAAGCUUUACUGUAACUUGAAAUUGAAAUUGGACUUUAUUCGCGCAGUAUAGGUGGGAGGCGUUGAUUAUAAUCUUGUGGGAUUAUUGGAGCCAUCAGUGAGAUACCACUCUUGUAAUGUUAGAUUUCUAACUUUGAAUCAUUAUCUGGUCAAAGAACAGUUUCAGGCGGGCAGUUUGACUGGGGCGGUCGCCUCCUAAACGGUAACGGAGGCGUACAAAGGUUUCCUCUGAACGGUUAGAAAUCGUAUCUAGAGUGUAAAGGCAUAAGGAAGCUUGACUGUGAGACCUACAAGUCGAGCAGGGACGAAAGUCGGUCUUAGUGAUCUGACGGUACUGAGUGGAAAGGCCGUCACUCAACGGAUAAAAGUUACUCUAGGAUAACAGGCUGAUCUCCCCCAAGAGUUCACAUCGACGGGGAGGUUUGGCACCUCGAUGUCGGCUCAUCGCAUCCUGGGGCGGUAGUACGUCCCAAGGGUUGGGCUGUUCGCCCAUGAAAGCGGUACGCGAGCUGGGUUCAGAACGUCGUGAGACAGUUCGGUCCAUAUCCGGUGUAGGCGUUAGAAUAUUGAGAGGAGCCUUCUUUAGUACGAGAGGACCGAGAAGGACAUACCUCUGGUGUACCAGUUAUCGUGCCAACGGAAAACGCUGGGUAGCUAUGUAUGGAGUGGAUAACCGCUGAAAGCAUCUAAGUGGGAAGCCCACCUCAAGAUAAGUA
Molecule: ribosomal RNA, 1236 nt
Filed under: metagenome
Description: bacterial LSU rRNA
Rfam family: Bacterial large subunit ribosomal RNA
Source: RNAcentral